GGUUCUGUGGUCUAGUGGUAUGAUUCUUGCUUUGGGACCACCAAAAUUGCAAGAGGCCCCGGGUUCGAACCCCGGCAGGACCC
RNAcentral lists this transfer RNA (83 nucleotides) under Thielaviopsis punctulata. RNAcentral's name for it is "Ceratocystis radicicola tRNA". It matches the Rfam family "tRNA". From Rfam's summary of the family: Transfer RNA (tRNA) molecules are approximately 80 nucleotides in length. Their secondary structure includes four short double-helical elements and three loops (D, anti-codon, and T loops). The record is from Rfam by way of RNAcentral. Lineage: Eukaryota; Fungi; Ascomycota; Sordariomycetes; Microascales; Ceratocystidaceae.